This 324-nucleotide ribosomal RNA is filed under the name Triticum aestivum (bread wheat). RNAcentral describes it as "partial small subunit ribosomal RNA". Lineage: Eukaryota; Viridiplantae; Streptophyta; Magnoliopsida; Poales; Poaceae. The record is from RNAcentral.
AUGGCUCAUGGAGUAUAUGAAGUCUUAUGGCUAAAAAUCAUACUGAUGGAGUUGGGUCUAUUCCAGGCAAGACCAUUGAUGAUGUAUUGUGAUAAUAAGGCUGCGCUAGAUAUAGCACAUAACCCGGUUCAACAUUGUAGAACAAAGCACAUAGAAAUUGACCGACACUUUAUCAAAGAGAAACUUGACCAAGGAAUAAUAUGUAUGCAUUAUGUGAGCUCUUCAAACCAACUAGCGGAUAUUUUGACCAAAGGUCUCGCUGAAAAAUUGUUUUCUAGCUUAUGUAGCAAGAUGGGGUUAUAUGGUGUGUUUGCCCCAUCUUGA